CGUAGAGAAAUCGAGUCUUAAUAGGGCGUUUAGUUGCUGGGUAUAGACCCGAAACCAGGCGAUCUAUCCAUGAGCAGGUUGAAGGUUGGGUAACACUAACUGGAGGACCGAACCCACUGUCGUUGAAAAGCCAGGGGAUGACUUGUGGAUAGGGGUGAAAGGCUAAUCAAGCCUGGUGAUAGCUGGUUCUCCCCGAAAGCUAUUUAGGUAGCGCCUCGGACGAAUACCAUAGGGGGUAGAGCACUGUUUCGGCUAGGGGGUCAUCCCGACUUACCAAACCGAUGCA
This 286-nucleotide ribosomal RNA is filed under the name Acinetobacter baumannii. RNAcentral describes it as "partial 23S ribosomal RNA". It matches the Rfam family "Bacterial large subunit ribosomal RNA", at positions 667 to 951 of the family's 2925-position model. Lineage: Bacteria; Pseudomonadati; Pseudomonadota; Gammaproteobacteria; Moraxellales; Moraxellaceae. The record is from RNAcentral.